AUUUUUGUAGCGUAAAAGCUAAAUAAAUUCAUACAUAUUGUAAUACAGAUAACCAAAGCAUAAGAUUUAAUUUACAAUGACACAUGAGCCCACGAACGACCAAAAGUAUCAAAAGCGGUAAACCUACAGUUUUUGAUGAUGCAAGUCUAACUGUAACCCUUAUCAAUGUGAGCUAUCUACCAACUAUCCUGAGCCUAAAAUGGGUGGAAAUGAGGGUGGUGAGAUUAUAUAAUCCUAGUGAGUAAACAAAUACCAUCUAAAAUAUCUAACACUGAGUAAAUGGAGACAAAUAAAAUAGUUUAACAUACUGUAAUUCAUCACAUUUCAAGCAAAUAAAAUCAAUUCAUAUAAAUCGAGUAAUCAACAUGGCUUAUGAAUUUUUUAAAACUUUGGUUCGUGCCAAAAUCAUUCUCAUACUCAGUUAUCAGGGAUACCUUGACUGAGGGUUAUCCCAACCGAGUCCGCCAAGGCUGUUAAAAAGUUAUGUACGCAUAAAUCAUGUUUUUAUUUUAAAACAUAGCCGUUCCUUGGCAUUGGCUGAGUUCACCCUCACGUGGUGGUUUGGCGUGAAGUGAACUCUAAAGUGUUAACCUUAGGAGUUAUCCAUCCGCGCCUCUCAUACUGAGGUAUGAAUAUAAUAAAGUUACCGUGCCCCCUCUAAUAGGCUGGUCCACGGAACCUGUCCACUGCAAUGACUAAUCAAUAACCCACCAAUUCAAUAAAAUUUAACAGCAUGACAUGGCAAUUUUAUCAUUAUCCAGCCUAUCAAGGCAAACAACAGUUUAUAAAUUUUCAACACAAAUACCAAUUCAACCAUUCAUGCCAAUAUUAUCAUAAGCCAUUCAAUUCAAACCAUGAUUUAUAACACAGCAAUUAGUCUCCAAUUACUCCAUUUUCAAAACCAUCUUUCAAUUUCAAGAUAAUUUUAUAAAAUCAUUUCAUUUAAACACAUUUUGUUUAUAAAACAUAAAGAUUUACCAUUUAAACUUAUUUUCCAUAAAAUCACAAAAUUAGAUAAAAACCACUUUAGACAAUUAAGACGAUAGUAAGGUUACUCACUAUUUUGGGAGUCAAAUUCCGAGUACUCCGAUUCUUGAUCCUCAAGUACUAUCUCUUUACUUUUGCCAGAAUGCUCACCACCUGGACAUAAUGCAUAAUAAGCCAUUUACUACAUUUGUGCUAAAUUGUUAUAAAACCAAUUCAAGCUCUAUACUAAUGCAUGAAAUGGGAUGUAAAUUGUUCGAAUUAUCAUCUAAACACGAUGAUCUACACAAAUUCAAUUGUGUACCUAAAUAAAACGGUAUUGGCCUAAUUCGAUCUAUCACCCGAUUAAUUGGCCAAUACGUCCAAUUCAACUCCAAAUAAUUCCAUUUUUCUUCCAAUUCUCCAAACCAUCAAACACAAGUUAAAUAACUUGAAAUAUGGCAAAAUCAUCCUCAGAUUUUCUCUUGGAAAAUUUGGCCAUGGUGGGUGCAUCAACACUAUAAUUUUUCAAGCUUGAUUCUCACACCAUAAAUUACUAAUUCCUAACCAGAUCACUUGAAAUAAAAUCAAAAUCAUCAUCAAUACUCUACAAGGAAGAUUCGGCCAAUGGAGGUUCUUGAGGGGUAUACGGUUUUUCAUGCUCAACAUUACCAUUUUCGGUUUCUACCAACACAAUUCAUUAAAUUUUAACUAAAUAACAUAAGACAUCACAAGAUUCAUCUUCAAUAUUGCCUUUAUGAAAUUCGGCCAAUGAAGAAUCCAUGAAGAACAUGUAAUUUUUCUUACUUGUUUUCCUUCCAAACAUGAUAAAUCAACUAUAAACACUAAAAUAUCUCAAAAUCUAACCAAAUAAAUCAUCAAAUCUUCUCUCUCUAAAUUCGUUCAGCCAUGAAUCCUUCAUGAUAUCUUGUGAUUCAAUCAUGGAAAAUGCAAAAGAAUGCAUGGGAAAGGUAGAUCACAAGUCAAAAUAAAGAAAUUUUACCUUUGAUUGCUUGAUUACUUGAAAUCCACCAAUUUUCUCUUGAAUUUUCACCCUAGGGUUCUUGUUCUUUCUUUUCUUCCUUUGUUCUUGCUUUGGCCAGCCAUAUGAAG
This 2076-nucleotide long non-coding RNA is filed under the name Theobroma cacao (cacao). Its description in RNAcentral is "long non-coding RNA (TCAC_LNC001908)". The record is from RNAcentral. Lineage: Eukaryota; Viridiplantae; Streptophyta; Magnoliopsida; Malvales; Malvaceae.